RNAcentral lists this long non-coding RNA (1712 nucleotides) under Ananas comosus (pineapple). RNAcentral describes it as "long non-coding RNA (ACOM_LNC015087)". Lineage: Eukaryota; Viridiplantae; Streptophyta; Magnoliopsida; Poales; Bromeliaceae. The record is from RNAcentral.
ACAUCGACAGACCGCCGAACGGACAGAGUUUUCCCUGUACGUCCUAGGCGUCGCAAUCAAUACAAUUCACGAUGUUCCAACCAGGAACAGAAAUCAACAUACAGAUUGCAUAUGGAAAGGUAUCAACAACAUAAACACAUCCUAUGUUAUUACAAGCAUUCACCUUGAUACAUUUGCUUACAUCACAAUUACACUUUCUCUCCAACAUACAAUCUGAGUUAUUACAAUUUAUUACAUAUUUGAUACAUCUUGUUCUUUCAUUUUUCUCUCUACCCCUAGGCUAUGCCGACACGGGGUACCACUAUCUCUGGUCUCUGGGUAGGGCGCUAUCUACGGAGCUACGCCCUUGCCUCGCGCCGCCGCGCCGCUCACGUGCAAACCUGUAAAACCCCAAAACAACGUGGGGUGAGAACCAACUCCAUGGUUCCCAGUAGGUACGGCCACCCAAGGGAAAAGCUCGACCACUAGGUCCAAGGAGGCACUGCAACAAGUUAGUCCAAUAACAUAUAAUAGAUAUAUAUAUUCGAUAUUGAACUAAAUGUCAUGCCUCGCAAAAUGCAAUAUGCAAUACCUGUAACUUUAUGCAAGUAGAUUAAUUGAUUCUACUUCAUAUUAUUAACCAUUCUUUACUUGUAGCCGUUCUUUACUUUAUUAAUUAUUCUUUAUCAUUAGCUUUUCUCUAGUCUUUACUUGGUCACAUAACGCUCAUUGGCGAUUCUUUCCUAAGGUUGCUCAUACCUUAGCCAUCUAUACCACUCGACUCGGUCUUGAGUCAAUCCUCUGCGGAUAGUCCGCACACUGGCUGCUCAACAGCCCAUCGCACUCGAUGACUCAGCCACCCGGCGGCGAAAUCGUCGCACACGCUCAGCUCUGGCUUAAGUCACCCUGCGGCAUGAUCCACAAACUGGCUCAACCAUCCGGCGGUGAAAUCGUCGCACACGCCACGACAAUGGUUCUUUAGCCCCGGGCGGCGAAAUCGUCGCACAUACCCCGCACCACUCUUGGUGUUCCACAAGUCCUGGGAUUCCGGAACCCAUUUCACAGUACUCAAGGGUUGGUCUUAACCCUAUGAAAUUGACCUAUCUAGGUCCAAGCCUUUACUCAACCUAAGUUAAUACUUUAGGUUCAUUGCUUUCAUACUCUUAGCCUAGGUUUAUUAACACUAGGUCCAUUAUUCUCAUCUACCUAGAUUCACUUGACUCUAGGUUCUUACCUUUAUCUCACAACCUAGGUUACUUUGACUCUAGGUUCAUGCCACUUAUUAAUUCAACCUAUGUUCUUUGACACUAGGUUAGAUGCCACUCGAUCUAUAGGUGCGUUUAUGUCCACCUACACAUACCCUUUACUUUAGUAUUCUUACCUCAUCAUUAUGCAUUAUCAUUAGCAUAGUUUCUACUUUAGACUAACAUGCAAUGCUACUUUAUAUCAUUUACUUAGCAUUAACCAAAUACUUACAUUUAGCAUUUCUACACCAUACUUAUCAUGUAUAGACUUAGCAUUCCUUACAUUAACGUUUCUAUGGCAUGCAUUAUGUAUUCAUUUAGCAACUAUAUGCAUCAACAUAAUUUCACAAUUCUCUUAGACAUAACGGCGACCUAGUCGCUUCGGUAAACACAACCCACCUUAACUCGCGUUCCGAUUGCUUGUCGACACUUGCAAUCGGCCUCCCGCGGCACCCGUAUCCGGCACGGCCCAAUAUUGCAACUGCGCCA